CAGACGGGUGAGUAACGCGUGGGAACGUACCAUUUGCUACGGAAUAACUCAGGGAAACUUGUGCUAAUACCGUAUGAGCCCGAAAGGGGAAAGAUUUAUCGGCAAAUGAUCGGCCCGCGUUGGAUUAGCUAGUUGGUGGGGUAAAGGCCUACCAAGGCGACGAUCCAUAGCUGGUCUGAGAGGAUGAUCAGCCACACUGGGACUGAGACACGGCCCAGACUCCUACGGGAGGCAGCAGUGGGGAAUAUUGGACAAUGGGCGCAAGCCUGAUCCAGCCAUGCCGCGUGAGUGAUGAAGGCCCUAGGGUUGUAAAGCUCUUUCACCGGUGAAGAUAAUGACGGUAACCGGAGAAGAAGCCCCGGCUAACUUCGUGCCAGCAGCCGCGGUAAUACGAAGGGGGCUAGCGUUGUUCGGAUUUACUGGGCGUAAAGCGCACGUAGGCGGGCUAAUAAGUCAGGGGUGAAAUCCCGGGGCUCAACCCCGGAACUGCCUUUGAUACUGUUAGUCUUGAGUAUGGUAGAGGUGAGUGGAAUUCCGAGUG
RNAcentral lists this ribosomal RNA (541 nucleotides) under Brucella intermedia. RNAcentral's name for it is "bacterial SSU rRNA". It matches the Rfam family "Bacterial small subunit ribosomal RNA", at positions 99 to 675 of the family's 1533-position model. Lineage: Bacteria; Pseudomonadati; Pseudomonadota; Alphaproteobacteria; Hyphomicrobiales; Brucellaceae. The record is from RNAcentral.